UUGAGCCCACACACCGCAGCUACUGAAGCCUGCACGCCCUAGAGCCUGUGCUCUGCAACGAGAAGCCACCACAGGAAGAAGCCCUCACACAGACACUAGAGAGUAGCCCCUGCUCGCCUCAGCUACAGAAAAGCCAGCACAGCAACAAACACCCAGCACAGCCAGAAAAAAAGGAUGCCCCUUACAAUGCCGGGGACACGGGUUCGUCCCUGGUCAGAAAAUUAAGAUCCCGCGUAUUGCAACUAAGCCUGUGCCACCACUCCUGAGCCUGUGUGCUCUAGAACAGCGGUCCCUAAACUUUUUGGCAUCAGGGACCGAUUUUGUGGAAGACAAUUUUUCCACGGAGCUAGGGUGGAGGGGGUGGUUUUGGGAUAAUUCAAGCACAUUAUAUUUAGUGUGCACUUUAUUUCUAAUGUAAUGCUGCUGCUGAUCUGACAGGAGGUACCGGUCCAUGGCCUAGAGGCUGGGGACCCCCGCUCUGCGGGGACCCCGUGCACGGCAACAAAGAUCCCACAUGCUGCAACUAAGAUCUGAUGCUGCUAAAGAAAUAAAUAAAUUGAUAAAUAAAUAGCGCAACACAGUGCAUAUGUGGAUUUUGGGAUCAGAUGCCUUCCCCACCCCGACCCCACAGGCCUGGAGCCUCCCCUGCUGCCCAGCCCCGUUGUCCGUGUGGUGCCUUGUGCUGACCUGAAGGUGUGGGGCUGAGGGAGUCCACGACUUAAGCCUUUAAACAAAAAAAUGUACGUGCAGUGCAGGUUGUAGUGUUACUAGUUUCCGUGAUAAGAACAGGGAAGUGUGGGGUCUUGUCUGAAAAGAGAGAAAGUGGUGGGAAGCCAGAAAUGCGUGUCCUAUGCAAGGACAGGCUUUUUAACCCAUAAUAAGAUUCCCCAGGACCAUCAGGAGCUCUCAUGCUCAGCUCUGUGCCAACUGAAUUGAAUGAAAGGAGGAGGCAUGAGCUGUUAUAAUAAGUACGUGUCAACUUUGAUGAACAGCUGUCAGGAGCACCAGACUGUGAAAGAGUCUGAGAACCACACUUUUCAAGAAAGAAGGGAAAGGUGACUCAUUCAAGGUCAUUUCACUAGUGAUCAGCGGCACCUGCCUGGAAUCCAGUCAAGUCCAGAGGCCAGCAGAGCCUCCGGGGAGGACACCCUCAGUGUGCUCUGCCCCACAUCUACCACCUUCGUAACUUUCACACAGGACUGAAAUGAGAGGCAAGAGGGAGGAGGCGGGGAAACACAGCAGCCCAGGGGCCCGCUGGCUAUGAAUGAGACUUCUGUUUGCCUGCCCUGUGCAUCUGGAAUUUUGUAUGAAAACAAUGAACUGCGAGGAGGUGAAAGUGUGUGCUCUAAAGCAAGGCCACCCUCCCAUCCCCGCCCCCACCUCGCUUUAUAAAAGACCUGCUUUGUGUCAAGCACAGCAAAGGAGAAGCUGGGGAAUAUGCUGGGGUUUCGGGGGAGUUUAGGUGUUUGGGGCUGACAUCGCCAACGUCUGGGAGGAGGCAGCUAUCAGAAAAAUGGGGUAUCAAACUAGAACCUGGGAUUUUAAACUCCAGUCAUUUCCCUAACUGCUCUCCUAUUUGCGUAAUGCUCUACACAAACUUGUAAAAUGCUUUCUCGGCCCUUUUCUCCACAGAGCGAGAGCUUGGGGAGGAACAGAGUUUCUUCCCGCGGGCUGUCUGGGUGGCCCUGAGGGCACGCUGCUUUGCCCAUCCUUGAGCGUUGGAGUGGGGUCCUGUCUUCUGCGCCCUCUGGCUUUAUCUUGUGCAGGUUAACCAGUCAUGAUGCCAGCUGCACGAGGGUGGAUGAGAGUGGAGAACAAGCUCCCAGGAACUGGAGAAAACUGAUCGUCUCACUCCUCUUCCCGUCAGUCACUCUGGAUCCUCGUAAGCUUCCUGGUAUGGAAAACAUCCUGCUUGGAUAAGAGCUUUGAUCAUAAAAAUGCAAUAAAUGCCCAGAGCCUGAGAUCGGAAUUUUUGGAAGGGACUGUAGGAGAUUGGAAGGGGAAAUUUGGUAUCUCCCCACAGGGAGGCCAAAGCACGGUCAACAUGGAGAAAAUCGGAAAACUCACAGGGCAGUGUGGGGCUGCGGCAGGGCGGCGAGCAGACAGUCCUGCCAGGAGAAGCUCAUUUUAAUAGGGGGUUGAAGCUACACACAGAUGACCCCUGGGAUGGAAAGUGCUGGGGGAGGAGGAGGGUCACAGAAAAAGUCCUCCAGGGGCUGAGGGCAGGGAGGCUGCUUGGGGCAUUUUUGAAGGCGACUGGGAGAGACAGAGCAACAAAUGCCCUGCAUAGAAUGUGGCCUCAUGAUAAAUUCCCUUUCAGCUGAAACUGGCCUGCUGGUUCUGCGCAAAGUGUGGAGGGGCACCCUCUGCACACCCUGCUCCCUCUGUCUCGAUCAUUUAUUCUACCUCAAAUAAAUGUCAGGGGUCCUCCCAAACCCGGCUCUUCCUCCAGGCCUCACUCCAGUGUGCGCAAAACCACUCACAUACCUGACAUUUUCCUCCCUUCCCCUUUGCACUGCCUUCCUGUAACAUCCUCCCAAAAGCUCAAAUCUUUCCUUCAAGGCCUGUCAGAGCCUUUCCCCCUACCAAUGUCUCCAGCUGUUCCCUGGAACAGUCAUUUGAUUCUGAAAGGAGAGGCGUCAGUAUGACGUAGGAUUCAGUAGACACUUCAUGAGGAGGCAUGGAGGAAGCUAUUUUGAACUGACCAAUCCUACCACACUGUUUGCAGUGCAGACCCUCUGAGAGCCAUUUCUGACUAUCCUGACGACGCACUGGUGGCUGGAGGAGGAGCCUCAGACUGGGAGGUGGCCUUGCCACAUGGCAGGGACAGUUUGAGGGACCCAGCUCACUGGACCUCAGGCUGGCUUGGGUGGGUGCAUUCCCUGGCUGCAGAGUAGUCAUGGAAGGAGGAGGUGAGUUGUAGGGGCAGACAGAUGGAACUGGGACCCGUGCAGUCUGGAGACACAAGGACUGCAGACUUGGUGGCAAGGAACACUGUCUGUUACAGGAGAUGCUGCCACAUGCGGCUGGCUAUGUGCUUCCCGUUGCAAGAGGGAGCCAAGUGAAAGUGGGGAAGCAUAUAAAGAUUUGUCUUGGCCCACAAAAGCAGCUCCCAAAUGUCCAAUCCUCAGGGCAGUCUAUGAGGGUGCAGGGUGACCUGAAAAACAUAAGGGCAGCAUGCUGAGGGCUUCACAGAGUUAGUCCAUUUAAAGGACUGUUCUUCUGGGUUUUUUUUUUCUUUUUUUUUUUUGAUACAGGUCCCAGAAUCCAAAGAGCUCUGAAAACCAAGUCUUUGGUUUGGCAUCAAAACUCAUCUGGCAGAUAAUCCUGUCCUGAACUGACACAUGGUUAUUUAUAGCUUUCACUUAUUCCACUUAGUUGAAUAUUCAUAUGGUUCACUGCAAAAAUUUUACAUGUUAUUAUGAAGUAUUCUAUGCACCACAUUACCUUUCAAAAUGUACAAACUUUCAAUCCCAAAACAAAUCUGGCUUCUUCCAGGGUUUCAUAAGGAAUUACAGACAGCUAUUAGAUGCAUCCUGUUUUUUAGAGUGAAAGUAAAUAGUAGCUGUGGUUUGUUUUGAAUAAAAAUUUAAAAUGUUACUGCUCGACAAAAUAAAAUGUUGGCAACCCUAA
Bubalus bubalis (water buffalo) is the source of this 3633-nucleotide long non-coding RNA. RefSeq lists it as uncharacterized. The transcript is spliced from 2 exons. Lineage: Eukaryota; Metazoa; Chordata; Mammalia; Artiodactyla; Bovidae. The record is from RefSeq and is a predicted model, not a curated record.